Molecule: ribosomal RNA, 253 nt
Filed under: uncultured bacterium
Lineage: Bacteria
Description: partial 16S ribosomal RNA
Rfam family: Bacterial small subunit ribosomal RNA
Source: RNAcentral
UACAGAGGUCUCAAGCGUUGUUCGGAUUCAUUGGGCGUAAAGGGUGCGUAGGUGGCGCGAUAAGUCGGGUGUGAAAUCUCGGAGCUUAACUCCGAAAUUGCAUUCGAUACUGCCGUGCUCGAGGACUGGAGAGGAGACUGGAAUUUACGGUGUAGCGGUGAAAUGCGUAGAUAUCGUAAGGAAGACCAGUGGCGAAGGCGGGUCUCUGGACAGUUCCUGACGCUGAGGCACGAAGGCCAGGGGAGCAAACGGG